CUCGGCUCCUCCUUAACUAGUGGUCUUCUCUUGAUCUUUUGUUUUCUUUUUUUCAGAAAUCAUCUGAAUUUUCUUGUGGUCAAUGCUACAUCCUCAUCAUCUUCACUAUUUUUUAAUUUUUCUAAAUCUUCUUCUUCUUGAGCCAUUAAUUUGAUGGCAAAUAUCUUCUUUCUUCUGAUCUCUUCUUCAGAAUAUUAUUUCAUGGUCAGCUCGUAAGUCAUGAGAGAUCCAAGCAACUCCUCCAAAGGUAGGAUGUUUAAGUCCUUGGCUUCUUGAAUCGUCAUGAUCUUUGCUUCUCAUGAUCUUAGUAGAGACCUAAGAACUUUCUUAUAAGGUCACUAUUAGAAUAACACUUUUCAAGACUUUUUAGACCAUUUAUGAUAUCAGUGAAAUGAAUAAAUAUUUAUAUUAUAGACUCAUCAUGUUUCAUUUUAAAUAAUUCAUAAUUGUGCACAAGCAUGUUAAUUUUUGACUCUUUUACUUAGUUUGUGUCUUCAUGUGUAACUUCUAAUCUAUCUUAAAUUU
This 525-nucleotide long non-coding RNA is filed under the name Elaeis guineensis (African oil palm). Its description in RNAcentral is "long non-coding RNA (EGUI_LNC072376)". Lineage: Eukaryota; Viridiplantae; Streptophyta; Magnoliopsida; Arecales; Arecaceae. The record is from RNAcentral.